GAUGAACGCUGGCGGCGUGCCUAAUACAUGCAAGUCGAGCGAACAGACGAGGAGCUUGCUCCUCUGACGUUAGCGGCGGACGGGUGAGUAACACGUGGAUAACCUACCUAUAAGACUGGGAUAACUUCGGGAAACCGGAGCUAAUACCGGAUAAUAUAUUGAACCGCAUGGUUCAAUAGUGAAAGACGGUUUUGCUGUCACUUAUAGAUGGAUCCGCGCCGCAUUAGCUAGUUGGUAAGGUAACGGCUUACCAAGGCAACGAUGCGUAGCCGACCUGAGAGGGUGAUAGGCCACACUGGAACUGAGACACGGUCCAGACUCCUACGGGAGGCAGCAGUAGGGAAUCUUCCGCAAUGGGCGAAAGCCUGACGGAGCAACGCCGAGUGAAUGAUGAAGGUCUUCGGAUCGUAAAACUCUGUUAUUAGGGAAGAACAAAUGUGUAAGUAACUAUGCACGUCUUGACGGUACCUAAUCAGAAAGCCACGGCUAACUACGUG
This 497-nucleotide ribosomal RNA is filed under the name uncultured bacterium. Its description in RNAcentral is "partial 16S ribosomal RNA". It matches the Rfam family "Bacterial small subunit ribosomal RNA", at positions 28 to 507 of the family's 1533-position model. The record is from RNAcentral.